This is a long non-coding RNA of Ostrea edulis (European flat oyster), 473 nucleotides long. RefSeq lists it as uncharacterized. The record is from RefSeq and is a predicted model, not a curated record. NCBI's taxonomy places the organism in Eukaryota, Metazoa, Mollusca, Bivalvia, Ostreida, Ostreidae. The transcript is spliced from 2 exons.
UCACUGUCAUGAUCGUGUGCAGGAUUGGACAAAACAAGAUGGCAGACGGCAUUUCCAAACAAAGGUAUCAAGCCCUAGAACUUCAUUCCAUGAGAUGGGUACACUUCGAAUGUGCAAAUUUGUGGUGAGGAAUUCAAGACCAAUUCUGAAUUGCGUAGGCAUGUAUAAAGGAAACAUCAGUCAGAAAAAUUGUCUUCGUUUGUGACCAGUGCAACACACGCUUUUGCCCAUUAUAAAAGAAACUCGAAGUAAAAAAUACAUUGUUUUCUGAAUACACGAGGUGCAUACAUACAUGUAUACCAUGGCAGCCGUUUUAUAUAUUCGUUUAUGUACAUUGUGAAACGAUUAUUUUUACGGUAUUAUGCUUUGUUUUACAGAGAUACUACUAAUCUUUUACAUUGCAUUUUACACAUGUUGAUUUGUCAUUUCAUUGAACCUAAGUUUUACGUGUUAUUAAAUAUAUUUCAAUGUUA